UAGUGGCGGACGGGUGAGUAACAACGUGAGUAACCUGCCUUCAGAGGGGAAGUAAUGUUUGGUAAACGGACACUAAUACCGCAUAGUAUAUUUUAAUCGCAUGAUUGAAAUAUCAAAGGAGCAAUCCGCUGAAAGAUGGACUCGCGUCUGAUUAGCCAGUUGGCGGGGUAACGGCCCACCAAAGCGACGAUCAGUAGCCGGACUGAGAGGUUGAACGGCCACAUUGGGACUGAGACACGGCCCAGACUCCUACGGGAGGCAGCAGUGGGGGAUAUUGCACAAUGGGCGCAAGCCUGAUGCAAGCAACGCCGCGUGCAGGAAGACGGUCUUCGGAUUGUAAACUGUUGUCCUCUGUGACGAUAAUGACGGUAGCAGAGGAGGAAGCCACGGCUAACUACGUGCCAGCCGCCGC
This 412-nucleotide ribosomal RNA is filed under the name uncultured bacterium. RNAcentral describes it as "bacterial SSU rRNA". It matches the Rfam family "Bacterial small subunit ribosomal RNA", at positions 93 to 518 of the family's 1533-position model. The record is from RNAcentral.